GGAUCAGUACGCUGGUCGUGCCUUCGGUAUGCACUGGUUUCACUGAUUCCUCCCUUCUGAAGAACCGUAAUGCCAUUCAGUUGGUGUGGCGGGGAAUCAGGAUUGUUACUUUGAAAAAAUUAGAGUGUUUAAAGCAGGCUCGCGCUUGAAUACAUUAGCAUGGAAUAAUGAAAUAGGACGUUUGAUCCUAUUUUGUUGGUUUCUAGGAUUGACGUAAUGAUUAAUAGGGAUAGUUGGG
RNAcentral lists this ribosomal RNA (238 nucleotides) under uncultured Glomus. RNAcentral describes it as "partial small subunit ribosomal RNA". The stretch from base 38 to 238 matches the Rfam family "Eukaryotic small subunit ribosomal RNA", at positions 684 to 886 of the family's 1831-position model. Lineage: Eukaryota; Fungi; Glomeromycota; Glomeromycetes; Glomerales; Glomeraceae. The record is from RNAcentral.